Oenanthe melanoleuca is the source of this 3950-nucleotide long non-coding RNA. RefSeq lists it as uncharacterized. The transcript has 7 exons. NCBI's taxonomy places the organism in Eukaryota, Metazoa, Chordata, Aves, Passeriformes, Muscicapidae. The record is from RefSeq and is a predicted model, not a curated record.
GGAGGGACCCGGGUCCCCGACGGCCGCGGAGGGCAGGGCGGGGGCCGCGCGUUCCCCGGGGCUCCGGCCGCGCCCGUGUCCCGUGUCCCGUGUCCCUGUCCCUGUCCGGGCAGGUGGAGGGGCCGAGGGGUGCGGGCCGUGCCCUCCUUCCCUCUGGGCUCCUUUGGGACGGAUGCGGUCGGCCCCAUCUUUGCGCUUUACGCAACAGGUCACAACAUGAUUGUUGGGAAAAUGGGAUGGCUGCCAGAACACCAGACUGUGAUGGGUGCCAUAUUGCAUUGCACUUCCAGUGGUGGAAUACAACUUGGGUUUCCUCAGGGCUGAUUAACACGGUUCAAACUGGACCACACAGCUGCUUAACAUCCUAGCUGUUGAUUCAUGGUAAUGGUUAAUGGUCUCCUGGGGGAAGUGGAAGAGCCUCAUGCUGAAUUUUUGUGGAUAUGGUGGAACAUGCUGCUGAGACCCAUUUGGAUUACAUCGCCAUCUGACACCAAGGUUCUGCAGCUGAUGAAAGGAGUUCACCAGAUCUUUUUAUGUGGUUGCUGAAGCAUUGUCCUGGGACAGCAGUAAUGACAGAUGGAUGAACAGAACACACUUCAGACUUGAGUCACAGAGAAACAUGAGGAUUUACACUUCUGAAGUCGGUGUGAAUGAGAUUGAAGGAAUUACAUGGAGGAUUCUGACUCCCCUUCUUCCUGCUCCGGGAAAGACGGAGGCCUGCUCUGACAUCACCUCUGGUUAUGAUCCACAUGUGCUACUGAAGCUGGCUGGAAUGGUGUGACACACGGAGUAACCUCAUGAAGCAAGGACAGUGUGCUCUUAUUGCUGCUCAUCAUAGCCUUGCAGGGGGGAAAGGAGUCUGGCAGACCUCUGUGUGAUGUCAUUUACAGGACACUGGAGAUGGUGGAAGAACCAGAACGCUACACUGCUCUUCCAUGGUGUAAACUCCUGCUGAAAAUCAUGAAGAAGAAAAGGAAACUUGAUUUGUAGUUCUGAAUAAAGUGACAUUAAGAGAACUUAUGCUUCCUUGUAACAUGUUACUUAAGAGAUUCUGACAAUGUAUCCAAACCAACUCCAUCUACAAGGAAAAAAAGAAAAUCAUGUCAAGUCUGAUAGUCUUGUGAUGUGUUCCACUAGUUGUGAAUUUCUACAGGAAUUCUUCAAACACAAAAUUAACUAUUAUAAACAGCAAUGGCAUUAUUCAAGAUGUCACAAAUAAGGUAACAGAAGCAUGUCAAAGUGAUACAGUUUGUGCUGAAAUCAAACUAUUCUACAGCAGUUGAAAGUGUUGAGGAUAACCUUGUUCUUCAGAGUUAUAUCAGAAAUUAUUAGUAACAGCAGCUCCAGUAUUUGGCCCACGGUUUUCAGAGUAGUUUGGAAAAGUAUUUUCACACAGUAUGUGCCCAAAUAUUUUUUUUUAAACUGCACUUUAUUUAAGUAAUGUAAAGGUUUGUAGCUAGAGACUACAGCCCAUCCAAAGUAAGCAGCAAUGUUAACUGGAGCAGAAGAAACAAAAACCAGAUAAAACUGCUAGAAUAUUUUCUUUCAUUUGAAUGACAAUGCUUUCUAAGAGUUCCAGCUGAAAGUGAGGGAUCAUACAGUUUGAUUCCAUUUAAAAGCAGAGCACAGUGUAUGGAGAGAACACAGAGGGUACACACAGUAAAGAUUUGGCCUGAGAAAGUUGUAUAAAGGGUUGUGGGAUAAAGGAGAAGGAAUAAAGGUGUUGAUUCUGUUACAAUUAAAAUAAAAUAUUUUGCUUAAAUUUCUCUAAAUUUCUUUUUAUUUGAAAAGGGUGUGAGAAACUUGAUUUUUAUCUGGACUAGCCUAAAGGAGAUGCAUUAUUCCAAUAUGCUUUAAUUUCAGGCUCUGUAAUAUGGUAGUCUACAACAAGAUAAGAAUUGUAACCCAGAAACAGCAAAUGUUCCCCUGACAAACAUCUCCAAAGUUUUUUACUGACACCAUGGAACACUUGUCUUAAGCAGGAAAUUUAGCUUCUCAGAAUAAUAUCUGUGGUGAUGGACAGUAACAUUUAUAUGCACAAAAUGGAUAAUUCCCCACUUAGGAUGAAUUUAGAGAUAGUGGGUUUAGCUUCUUUGAAUUCAAAUGAUUUGCACAUGGUUGUGUCAUGUGUGAUCUCCUCAGCUUUUCAAAGUUAGGUUGCUAAAGAUACACUGAAGCAAAUAUUUUGGAAACAUGCUUCCUAAUCAUAGAAUUCCUUUUUCACUACAGAUGUGGCUUUGAUAAAUUAUUUACUUACCUGCUCUCAAACAUAUUUACACUUAAACCUUUCUUUGUUCAGUUUGUGCCCAAACUGCACAUCCUUGGUACCAGCUUCUGCAGAAAGUCUGAGGAAAAUAUCAGCUGCAUUCUGUGCAGCUCUGAAAGAUGAAACAACAUGAAGGAAACAAGCAUAAGACUUGAUUUUCUUAUCUGCUUUUAUUUUGUGAGUAUUCACUGCAUUAGAAUAUCGUCACAAGCAACCCUCCUGCAGUUAUCAAAUGUCUCAGCUUUGUUUCAGUGCUUAUCCAGCUGUAAAAGAUGUUUUAUUACCUUAUAUAUUCUUCCACCAUUUAAGUAAAUCACUUCAGUGUUGCAUUAUAGAUGACUGUAAAAAGGAGAUUUUUUUUUUUUUCUCUUCAAUUUCAGCAACCAGUGGCCAGGUAUGCACAAAACCCAGAACGUUUGGAGCAAGCAGCAACCUGUCCUGCAGUAAUUUGAGGGAGAGGGGGGUAUGUACUCAUUACCCCAUGAGUAAUUCAGCAACACACGUGCCCUGCUGCUGAGGAGCAGCUGGCUGCUGUGUGCUAUCAGAGCUGCUUGCCAGCAGGCACGGCUCAUUAAGAGCCUAGUUGCAGGAUAUAACAUCUUUGCAGUCAAUUAACAAUGCUGCUCUUUAAAAAGGCCCAGAUCCUUCCUGAUUCAGCAGAGCACUUCAAUGUAUGCUCAAAGUUAAAUGCUUGAUUAAAGUUUCGUGUAAGGAAGAUGUGAGGGCUUGUGCUUGAGGUUAAAUAGGAAGGCACAUUCCCAAAUCAGGGCCUGACAUGCUAUGGUUUUUAGAGGUUUCCAGGAAUUUAGAAUAUCCUUAAAUACUGACUAUGCUCAUUUCCAAGCUGAGUAAGACCUACAACUGAAAAACAAAACCACACCACGUGACUGUGAAGCAUGCAGGAAAACCUUUUAAAAUCUCUAUCUGGUCAUCAUUGAUGCUUGUCAAGGAAAUGCUAGCAGACUGUUUGCAUUUCUGUAAUUUUAAAAUAAAUUUAAGAAAUUACAUAAACCUUGUCAUCUGGAUAUGGGGAAAAAUUAUAUUUGGUAAAAUGAAUUUAUUCUUUGAAGAAAGAAACAAUGAGAGUAAUUGAAUUGUUAUGCACUUCCUGACUGUAGUACUUCUCACUGGAUGGGGUUGUAUUUUGUAGCCUGCUUUCUGUGGUCAAGUAAAGGAAUGAGUACUAGGAAGACCAAAAUUUGAGCUUUUGCCUUAUCAUUUUAUGCAACAAUGUCUACCACUUUCCCAUGCUUAGAUUCUCUUGUAUGACAUCUGCUCAGUUAUUGCAAUAUCCUGCUGAUAACUCAUUGCAGUAAUAGGCAAAUGUCUUUGCUCUAGUUCAGUGGGUCAACAGCAUAAUCAAAGAUAAUCUCUCACUGAUUGUGAGUUAUAUAUUAAUACAACCACUUUGCUCCUUGUGGAUUGGGUCUAAGCACCUGGGACAUGAUAUUUUCUGUAAUAGUAUGUUGAAUUGCCAGAGCUCACUGCUUCAUCUUUUGCAAUGUCUCAUCUUCUUAUAUCCCCACUAAUAAAAUGCAAAGUUCCAGCUGACUGCAAUAAGUGUAGAUUUAAACCUCAAAUAAUUUUUAAAACAACUUAUGAUUUCUGGUGAAACAUCCUAUGAAUGUGGAUUGCUCCAUACUUCCUCUUAUUGACUUUGUCCAGUUAGAGAACAAUUGAAAUA